RNAcentral lists this ribosomal RNA (497 nucleotides) under uncultured bacterium. RNAcentral's name for it is "partial 16S ribosomal RNA". It matches the Rfam family "Bacterial small subunit ribosomal RNA", at positions 28 to 507 of the family's 1533-position model. The record is from RNAcentral.
GAUGAACGCUGGCGGCGUGCCUAAUACAUGCAAGUCGAGCGAACAGACGAGGAGCUUGCUUCUCUGACGUUAGCGGCGGACGGGUGAGUAACACGUGGAUAACCUACCUAUAAGACUGGGAUAACUUCGGGAAACCGGAGCUAAUACCGGAUAAUAUAUUGAACCGCAUGGUUCAAUAGUGAAAGACGGUUUUGCUGUCACUUAUAGAUGGAUCCGCGCCGCAUUAGCUAGUUGGUAAGGUAACGGCUUACCAAGGCAACGAUGCGUAGCCGACCUGAGAGGGUGAGCGGCCACACUGGAACUGAGACACGGUCCAGACUCCUACGGGAGGCAGCAGUAGGGAAUCUUCCGCAAUGGGCGAAAGCCUGACGGAGCAACGCCGCGUGAGUGAUAAAGGUCUUCGGAUCGUAAAACUUUUUUAUUAGGGAAAAAAAAAUGUGUAAGAAACUAUGCACGUCUUGACGGUCCCUAAUCAGAAAGCCACGGCAAACUCCGUG